UCGCUAGUAAUCGCGGAUCAGAAUGCCGCGGUGAAUACGUUCCCGGGUCUUGUACACACCGCCCGUCACACCAUGGGAGUCGGGAAUGCCCGAAGUCAGUGGCCCAACCGGAAGGGGGGAGCUGCCGAAGGCAGGCCCGGUGACUGGGGUGAAGUCGUAACAAGGUAGC
This 169-nucleotide ribosomal RNA is filed under the name uncultured bacterium. RNAcentral describes it as "partial 16S ribosomal RNA". It matches the Rfam family "Bacterial small subunit ribosomal RNA", at positions 1332 to 1500 of the family's 1533-position model. The record is from RNAcentral.